GCAAACUUGGUCAUUUAGAGGAAGUAAAAGUCGUAACAAGGUUUCCGUAGGUGAACCUGCGGAAGGAUCAUUAUUGAACAAACCGGCGUUGGCUGAGCUGGCCUUUUCGGAGGCAUGUGCACGGCCCGCCAUUGUUUCAUCCUUCUCUUCCACCUGUGCACUUCUGUGGGCCCACUCCAGCGCACCUCGUGUGCUGGACUCUGGUGCCUACGUCUCACUACCUACACCAUUGAAUGUUCAGAGCGCAUGAAUAGGGCAUUCUUGCCUAUAAAACCUUAAUACAACUUUCAACAACGGAUCUCUUGGCUCUCGCAUCGAUGAAGAACGCAGC
This 331-nucleotide unclassified non-coding RNA is filed under the name uncultured fungus. RNAcentral describes it as "partial contains small subunit ribosomal RNA, internal transcribed spacer 1, and 5.8S ribosomal RNA". The stretch from base 1 to 73 matches the Rfam family "Eukaryotic small subunit ribosomal RNA", at positions 1759 to 1831 of the family's 1831-position model. Lineage: Eukaryota; Fungi. The record is from RNAcentral.